RNAcentral lists this ribosomal RNA (497 nucleotides) under uncultured bacterium. RNAcentral's name for it is "partial 16S ribosomal RNA". It matches the Rfam family "Bacterial small subunit ribosomal RNA", at positions 28 to 507 of the family's 1533-position model. The record is from RNAcentral.
GAUGAACGCUGGCGGCGUGCCUAAUACAUGCAAGUCGAGCGAACAGACGAGGAGCUUGCUCCUCUGACGUUAGCGGCGGACGGGUGAGUAGCACGUGGAUAACCUACCUAUAAGACUGGGAUAAAUUCGGGAAACCGGAGCUAAUACCGGAUAAUAUAUUGAACCGCAUGGGUCAAUAGUGAAAUACGGUUUUGCUGUCACUUAUAGCUGGAUCCGCGCCGCAUUAGCUAGUUGGUAAGGUAACGGCUUACCAAGGCAACGAUGCGUAGCCGACCUGAGAGGGUGAUCGGCCACACUGGAACUGAGACACGGUCCAGACUCCUACGGGAGGCAGCAGUAGGGAAUCUUCCGCAAUGGGCGAAAGCCUGACGGAGCAACGCCGCGUGAGUGAUGAAGGUCUUCGGAUCGUAAAACUCUGUUAUUAGGGAAGAACAAAUGUGUAAGUAACUAUGCACGUAUUGACGGUACCUAAUCAGAAAGCCACGGCUAACUACGUG